RNAcentral lists this ribosomal RNA (547 nucleotides) under uncultured Glomeromycotina. RNAcentral's name for it is "SSU rRNA". It matches the Rfam family "Eukaryotic small subunit ribosomal RNA", at positions 548 to 1098 of the family's 1831-position model. Lineage: Eukaryota; Fungi; Glomeromycota. The record is from RNAcentral.
UUGGAGGGCAAGUCUGGUGCCAGCAGCCGCGGUAAUUCCAGCUCCAAUAGCGUAUAUUAAAGUUGUUGCAGCUAAAAAGCUCGUAGUUGAAUUUCGGGACUAAUAUGUCGGUCGUACUUUGUACGUACUAGCAUUAUUGGUUUCUCCCUUCUGACGAACCACGAUGUCAUUAAUUUGGUGUCGUGGGAAAUCAGGACUGUUACUUUGAAAAAAUUAGAGUGUUUAAAGCAAGCUCGCGCUUGAAUACAUUAGCAUGGAAUAAUGAAAUAGGACGUUUGAUUCUAUUUUGUUGGUUUCUAGGAUCGACGUAAUGAUUAAUAGGGAUAGUUGGGGGCAUUAGUAUUCAAUUGUCAGAGGUGAAAUUCUUGGAUUUAUUGAAGACUAACUACUGCGAAAGCAUUUGCCAAGGAUGUUUUCAUUAAUCAAGAACGAAAGUUAGGGGAUCGAAGACGAUCAGAUACCGUCGUAGUCUUAACCAUAAACUAUGCCGACUAGGGAUCGGAUGAUGUUAAUUUUUUAAUGACUCAUUCGGCGCCUUACGGGAAAC